UAGGGUACAGUCUUAAUUUAUGCAGCCAUUAGAAGUGCAUGAAAUACACUGAUGGACAUUGAAACAUGGCCACGAUGAAUGAAAACAUCAGAUUGCAGAAUUACAAGGUGCGGUCAUUUUUGCAGGUGGAAAACAGGUAUAUAUGGAUGUGUACAUGCACACUCAUGUAUGUAUAUAUAUGGGUGUAUUAUAUGUGGAUUCCAAGAGUAAUUUUUUUUUUUUUUUUUUUUUUUUUUUUUGGGACAGAAUCUUGCUCUGUCACCCAGGCUGGAGUGCAGUGGGUGCAAUCUUAGCUCACUGUAACCUCUACCUCCUGGGUUCAAGCAGUUCUUGUGCCUCAGCCUCCCAAGUAGCUGGGAUUACAGGCAUGUGCCACCAUGCCCAGCUAAUUUUUCUAUAUUUUUAGUAGACAUGGGAUUUCACUGUGUUGGUCAGGCUGGUCUCGAACUCCUGACCUCAGGUGAUCCACCUACCUUGGCCUCCCAAAGUGCUGGGAUUACAGGCAUGAGCCACUGUGUCUGGCCCCCAAGUGCAUUUUUUCUCAUAACUUUUUUCUUAACAUAAAGUGGUGCUUUAGAAAAUGGUUCAUGCACUUGGUAAAAAAUUCAGAGUCCACAAAGAUGUCCUCACUGCUGCCGCCCCCUUCCCCAAGGAAGCCGACGUCGAUCCCUUCAGAGAUGUUCUGUGCGUAGGUGAGCAUGUGUGCUUGAGUGUGUGUGAGUGUGUGUAAAUGGGGCGAGAGCACCCCAUUUUUACACAGAUGUAGUUUAGGGUAUACACCUCAGUUCCCCUUCACGGGACUUAAGGGUUGAUUCCAUUGCUGCCCAUAGAAAUCUUUCGGUCACUUUUUUUUUUUUUUUUUAAAGACAGGGUUUUGCUCUGUUGCCCAGGCUGGAGUGCACAGUGACGCGAUCAAGGCUCACUGCAGCCUCCACCUCCCGGGCUCAAGUGAUCCUCCCACCUCAGCCUCCUGAGUAGCUAGGACCACAGGUGCACGCCACCAUGCUCAGCUAUGUUUUUUUAUUUUUUGUAGAGACGGGGUUCCACCAUGUUGCCCAGGCUGUUCUUGAACUCCUAAGCUCGAGUGAUUCUCUCACCUUGGCCUCCCAAAAUGAUGGGAUUACAGGCAUGAGCCACUGUGCCUGGCCUGGGUCACUUUUAAUUUAUUUUUACAUAUUUGUAGUUCUGAUUUUUCUCCUUGUGAUUUAAAAACAUACUCUCGAAGCACCUCUUUAAGAGGUGCCAUUUAUACAAAAUUAGCUGGGCAUGGUGGCACAUGCCUGUAAUCCCAGCUACUAGGGAGGCUGAGGCAGGAGAAUCGCUUGAACCUGGGAGGUGGAAGUUGCAGUGAGCCGAGAUCGUGCCAUUGCACUCCAGCCUGGGCAACAAGGGCGAAACUCCGUCUAAAAAAAAAAAAAAAAAAAAAAAGGUGCCAUUUGCCCAAAGCCUGAGGCCGACCCCCCCGCCUUCCUCCCCACUGUUGGUUCCUCGGCCUGAGGUGGGGGGUCUGAGCCAUUCCCACCAGCAGGGUGAGCAGCAGGAAGGAGGUCAGGAGCCCUGCUCAACCUUGAUGGUGGCAGAAACGAACGUGACUCACUCAUUUUCUUGGGACACAUCAGUCAGUGACAUGAAAUGGCAGAGAAGACAUCACAUUUUAUUCUCUGCCUGAAGGAAGAAAUAAAAUCACACUCCAUGAUCUUGCAGCUGGGAACUUUUUGUUUGUUUGUUUGUUUUGACAGAAUCUUGCUCUGUUGCCCAGGCUGGAGUGCAGUGGCACAAUCUUGGCUCACUGCAACCUCCGCCUGCCGGGUUCAAGCGAUUCUUGUGCCUCAGCCUCCUGAGUAGCUGGGAUUACAGGCACGCGCCACCACGCCUGGCUAAUUUUUUUGUAUUUUUAGUAGAGAUGGGGUCUCACCAUGUCACCUAGGCUUGUCUCGAACUCCUUAGCUCAGGCAAUCUGCCCACCUUAGCCUCCCAAAGUGCUAGGAUUAUAGGCAUCAGCCACCGCGCCCGGCCACAUUUCUGUUUUUCCAACCAUUAAAUCCACGUAAACCAUGGCACUCAAGCCUUCCCAUGUGACAGGUCCGUCUAGGCAGUGCCCGCCAGGUAGGUAUCACAGGCAAAGCUUCCAUUUUCUGUGAUCCUGAGUCUUGAAUUUCAGCAUGACCACAGGAGGUCAUUUACUUAGCGGAGCCUCUGGCAGGAAGGCUCGGCUAAAACGUCAAUCACUAGAUGUGGGGGGGUUCAUUCUAAUUUCCAUAUCACCUCUCCCACUGCUCCCUGAAAAGAUGCCCCACCUGUCUGGGAUGUUGCAGUGUUUGUCUGGGAGAGUAGAUAUUUGUCCUCUUGGCACUUUCUCCUUUGUUGCUCACUAAUUUAACACAAUUUGUCUUGGGCUUCUGAAUUUUGAAUCUCCCUUUGCCAUUGCUUGCAGGAGGCACCGACAUCAUCUCCUGCUUCAUGGGCCACAAUUUUUCUCUUCCUGUGUAUAAAGGGGAGAUUCAGGCCCGGAACCUGGGCAUGGCCGUGGAAGCGUGGAACGAGGAAGGAAAGGCGGUCUGGGGAGAGAGCGGCGAGCUGGUGUGUACUAAGCCGAUCCCUUGCCAGCCCACACACUUCUGGAACGAUGAGAACGGCAACAAGUACAGGAAGGCGUAUUUCUCCAAAUUCCCAGGUAUCUGGGCUCAUGGCGACUACUGCAGAAUCAACCCCAAGACCGGAGGCAUCGUCAUGCUUGGCCGGAGUGAUGGCACACUCAACCCCAACGGGGUGCGGUUCGGCAGCUCGGAAAUCUAUAACAUUGUGGAAUCCUUCGAGGAGGUGGAGGACAGCCUGUGUGUCCCCCAGUAUAACAAGUGCAGGGAGGAGAGGGUAAUCCUCUUCCUGAAGAUGGCCUCCAGGCACGCCUUCCAGCCUGACUUGGUUAAGAGGAUCCGU
RNAcentral lists this small RNA (2937 nucleotides) under Pongo abelii (Sumatran orangutan). RNAcentral describes it as "retained intron". Lineage: Eukaryota; Metazoa; Chordata; Mammalia; Primates; Hominidae. The record is from RNAcentral.